RNAcentral lists this ribosomal RNA (307 nucleotides) under uncultured eukaryote. RNAcentral describes it as "partial 18S ribosomal RNA". It matches the Rfam family "Eukaryotic small subunit ribosomal RNA", at positions 1470 to 1796 of the family's 1831-position model. The record is from RNAcentral.
CCCUUAGACGUUCUGGGCCGCACGCGCGCUACACUGACGAAGGCAACGAGCUUUCCUUUACCGAAAGGUACGGGUAAUCUUUUGAAACUUCGUCGUGCUUGGGAUAGAUCCUUGCAAUUUUUGAUCUUAAACGAGGAAUGCCUAGUAAGCGCAAGUCAUCAACUUGCGUUGAUUACGUCCCUGCCCUUUGUACACACCGCCCGUCGCUACUACCGAUUGAAUGGUUUAGUGAGGCCUUCGGAUCCGCGACUCGUUUGUGGAGAAGUUGGACAAACUCAGUCAUUUAGAGGAAGUAAAAGUCGUAACA